CAGAAGGGCCUCUGGAAGCGGUCUUGUCCAGAAUGGCCUCUUCUUGGGAGCGGCCUUGUCUGGGGAGCAACCUCAUCGAGCAGCGGCCUCGUCCUGGGAGUGGCCUUGUCCAGAGUGGCCUCUUCUUGGGAGCGGCUCCGAUCAUGGAGCGGCCUCAUCUGCGGAGCAGCCUCAUCUAGAGCAGCCUUGUCCUGAGCGGCCUUCUUGGGAGUGACCUUGUCGGGAUCAUUGUUGUCGCCUUUUCGUAAGAGAUGGC
This is a long non-coding RNA of Mustela erminea (ermine), 256 nucleotides long. RefSeq lists it as uncharacterized. The transcript is spliced from 3 exons. Lineage: Eukaryota; Metazoa; Chordata; Mammalia; Carnivora; Mustelidae. The record is from RefSeq and is a predicted model, not a curated record.